UCCUUGAAAAUAACAAAAUCCAUACCUAUAUGUAGGGAAAAAAACUUAUCCCAAAUAACAUGGAAUUGGGAUCUACCUUUAUCAAAUCCAACUAAGACUACGAAAAAACUAUCCCAAAUUACAUGGGAUUAGGAUCUACUAUUAUGGAAAUAAUAAAUAAAAUCCUACUAGGACUAGGAAAGCAUAUAAAAAUAAUAUAAAAAAUUCUCCCUUACGAAAAUAAGGGAAAGCUUCCAAAUUUACUCACAACCUAUAUGGGCCCAAUCUUCUUCCUUUUGGGCUUAGACUUGAAUCAUGAAAUAUGUGUAGCCCUUUGCCCAUUCCUCUCCAUAAUUCUUGGAAUCAUUCUUGGGCUCUUCUUUCAUCAUAAAUAUCUCCUUGAUUCAUAUUAAAGCCCAUCAAUCUUAAUGCAAGUGGGUCAGCCUGGAUGCUAUCGUAGUACCUUGGGACAAAGCAGGAAGAGAAAGCAUUAAUUUCCUCAAACAUUGAGAUACAAAGCCUACACAUAGGAGAAUCUACCACAUUAAUCUAGUAUAGCAAACUAGAAGUUGGUGUCCUUCCAUGAUUCAAGAGCCACAAAAAAUAUUUUAUUUUAGGUGGCACAUGAAGCUUUCAAAUCCAAGUAAAGUUAACACUUGGUUGAUCCUGGGUAAUGAAAUUGGUAUUGAGGCCAGUAUCAAUUGAAGGUUGAAAAGAUGUGGUGCACAAUUUGAUCGAAAAGAGACCCAUAUUAGUCAAUCCCCAGGUGAUGUGAUCAAACGAGUUUGAAAACCUUGAAAAGUAAACUCGUUGUAUUAAGGAUAAAGCCAGGUGAGGUGGUAGAACUGAUAAUCUAGAAAAGUUCCAUGUUCUGGCACUUCUAAAGUUAGCCACAUGAUAAACCUGUUCUUAACUUUGAAGUGGGCCUUGAACUAGGGAGCACAUAGGCAGAUUUGGUUUGACCCAAGCGUCCUUGAAAAAAUUAAUGAAUUCUCAAUUGGUGGGCUGCCAGCGGAGCCCUACCUGACAAUAUUUUCAUCCAAGUUUAUGAGUUUUCCAAGUUCUUGAUGUCGUCGAGAUAGCAGGAGUUCGGCGAUUAUGAUGCUAGUAUUUUUGUUUCAAAAGGGUAGCCUAGGGAGAGCUAGAUUGGAAACCUCUCCAAGCCGUGAAGACUAGCAAUGCUUUGUUUUUUGUUUGAAAGUCUUGAAUUCCCAACCCCCCCAUAUCCUUAGGUUUUGUUAGAGUUGACCAUUUAAUGAGAUGAUUUUUUUUAUUCGCUGUUGAACCCCAAAAGAAGUUUCGCUCACAACAUUCCAAACAUUUAAUUAUAUAGCUAGAAAGCUUGAUUAACUGAAUAAGAUAGUUAGGAAGACUAUUGAGGGUCAGUUGGAUUAAGAUAGCCCUACCCGCAGAUGAAAGAAAAUUGGAUUUCCUGCUUCGAUGCGCGACUUAAAAUUAUCAAGAAGGAAUUGAUAGUCAAAGUUGACUAAUUUGGACUAGGAGAUUGGAAAGCCCAAGUAUUUUCCAAAUGAUAAUCCUUCUAAGAUAUUCAAGUUGGUACAGAUUAGAGUCAUAUUAUCAAGUAUUGUCUGAGAAAAGAUUCUUGAUUUUGAGUAGUUGAUUCUUUGUCCCAAAACUACUCCAAAUUGGCUCAUUAUAGUUUGAAUGGUUGCCAUAGUAUUGUCAUUUAAAUCCCUACACAAGAUAAUGCCAUCUGCAGAGAGUAGGUAGGAGAGCUGAAUUCCACUGGAGAAUAGUAAUGAGGUUUCAAAGUAUGUGAUCAAUCAUAUCAAUUCUAUAAAAAAGUUUUUUCAUACAUAAGAUCAAAAUGUAUGGCGACAAAGGAUCACCUUGACGAAUACCCUAGUAGAAGCGAAAGAUUAAGUAGCACUUCCAUUUAGAAGGAUGGAUAUAGAAGGGGUGCAAAUAUAAGAUAUUAUGAGUCUAAUCAUUUUAACAUGAAAAUUAUAGAAUAAAAGUGUGUCGUGUAUAAAAGGCCAUUCAAGGCGAUCAAAAGCUUUUUCCAAAUCAACUUUAGGUAUCAUGUACUUUUUUUGACCUUUAGUUUUUUUUAAAAGUACAAUAGUUCCUGAACCACCAGUGCAUUAUUAGAAACCCUCCUCACUACCAAAAAACUAGAUUGACUUGGGCCAAUGAGAACUUGUUGGAGUGGCUUGAUUCUAUUGACCAAAAUUUUUGUAUUUACCUUAUAAAUGGUAUUACAAAGACUAAUUGGCCUAAAUUAAGAAAUUGUUGCUACAGUACUAAACUUAGGGACCAAAAAGAUAUAGGUUUGAUUGAUGCAUUCAGGGAUGGUUCAUUGAUUAAAAAUAGUAGAGCAAAAUUUCUCUAGAGAAUUUCCCACAAUUGACCAGUAUUUUUGGAAAAAGAAAGGAUGUAAACCAUUUGGCCCCGAAGCCCUAAAAGGUUUAAAUGAAUUGAUGGCUCUAACAAUCUCGUUCAAACUUACAGAAAGCUCUACUAGGGUAUGUGCAGUUGAUGUGAUAAAUCCGGAUGAAGCGCAAGGGCAGUGCUUUGAACAAACAACUAGAACAAACGAGUAGAGGUCAUGGAAGAAACUUAGGAUAUGGUUUUCAAGAUUUUGUCUACCUUCAACCUAGUUUCUUACCUCGUCUCUAGUGCAACAAUUUGAUUACUAUGCCUUCGAUUGAGGAUGGACAAAUGAAGUAACUUUGUAUUUGUAUCCCCUUCAUUAAUCCAAGACACUCUAGACUUUAUUUUCCAAAAUUCAUUUUCAAGGAUAAGCAAAUCCUUGUAUUCCUUUGUAAGCUCCAACUCAAGAUUUUGCAAGAAUGAGCUUGUAAGGUAGAAUAAGAAGACGUUUCGUAUGGAAAAUAUUCCCAAAGAUACUUUUAUUCCAGAUUGAGAUUUCAUUCUUAAAUUGAGCAAUUGAAGGAAUCAGUAUAUUGUUCGAAGCAUUUCAAGCAUGACAGAUAACAAAAAGGAAUUGGGGGUGGGAAUUCCACAUUGAUUCAAUCCUACAAAGCUUGUUUUGAACUAAGUGUGGGAGGGACAACUAAAGCAAUAGAGGACAAUGGUCUGAGUACAGAUGAGAGAGGUGUUUAACUAAAGACUCAGGAAAUGAUUCUAACCAAGAAGCAUUGCUAUAAUACCCGUCUAAACAUUCUAAUAUCAUAUGUUUAAGACACCUAAGGUUCGUCCAGGUGAACUUUCUACCGCUAAACCCUAAGUCUAUCAUUCCAUAAUAAUUAAGGCAUUAUAUAAAUCUAUCAGUCCUAGCAACAUGAAUGCCCUGGCCACUGAAAUUUUUACACGACCUAACAAUCUCAUUAAGGUCACCCCCUAAUAACCAAGAUCCAUUAUAACUAUCUAAUACUUUUUUAAGAUUUUUCCAGAGGUUGGCCCUACUAUUCAAAUUAUUACGGGCAUAAAUUAUCGAAAACAACUAUUUAACAGGUGAAGGCAUUACCUAAACCAUGCAGUGGAUUUCAUGGUGCGUAAGGGCAGUAUUAGAGAUAUUGAGCAAGUCAUCAUGCCAAAGUAAUGCCAUACCCUCAGCAUGUUCCUCCGCUGGGACAGUCAGGACAUUAGAGAAAUUAAACUCGUUGGGCAUUGACUAAUAAUUUAACUUUUACGUUUCAAGGAGAACAACUAGAACAGGUUUAUGAGUUUCUAUAAGUUCCUUAAAGGCUAGCCUAAAUCCUUAGAUAUGGAGCCCCUAUUCCAAAUUAUAAAAUUCAUUGGAUGGUGGAGUUGGUAUGGAGCAUUAGUAUUGCAUACAAGUUUAGAAUCCUUGCGAGAGGGGCUCAUUAUCACGACAUAUUUUCCCAUAUCUUAGUUCAGAGUGGGCCUCGCAUGAACCGAGCAUUUGAACAUAUUUUAGGGGUAAUUUACGUUUAGUUUUCUUGUAUGGUGCUCUUAUAGAAGGAAUACUCGUACCUGGCCCAAGAAAAAGGAAGUCAUUAUUGCCUCUUGCAUGUCCUCCACCAGUUCGAUGGAUGGACCCUGUUAAGAGUUUGGAGUAAUUGCUUGCUUCGCUGGUGGCUACGUCGAGACAAGCAUGUGCAUCUAAGAUGGCUCCAUAAAGGUUGUUGUAACAUGCUUCUGUAUCCAUGACACCACUUCCUCCUCUAGAGUUGGUUGUGGGUAGAAUGGGAAUCUGGG
This 4125-nucleotide long non-coding RNA is filed under the name Capsicum annuum. RNAcentral's name for it is "long non-coding RNA (CANN_LNC002445)". Lineage: Eukaryota; Viridiplantae; Streptophyta; Magnoliopsida; Solanales; Solanaceae. The record is from RNAcentral.